Long non-coding RNA from Bufo bufo (common toad), 618 nucleotides. RefSeq lists it as uncharacterized. The record is from RefSeq and is a predicted model, not a curated record. Lineage: Eukaryota; Metazoa; Chordata; Amphibia; Anura; Bufonidae. The transcript has 3 exons.
GGAGAUAGGACAUUGGGGGGGGGUGAGGGGGUGAGAGAGACACCAGCAGAUACUCUGGGUACAAGAGAAGACACUUGUGACUUUGGCUUUAGGUAACUGCGGUGAGAUCCUCUCCGACAUGAGAAUAAACCUUGUAUGAAGAAUAAUUUUGUUGAACUACCUUCUAUUUUCACCUUUAGGAAACAUACUUCUUUAUAUGCCCAUAUUGAAUCACGUGGCUAUGGAAUGUUAAGAAGUAUGUAACCUGAAGGUGGGAUCCCAGCUGGACAUGAAGUAUGUAACCUGAAGGUGGGAUCCCAGCUGGACAUAUAAGUAUCUUCUUAACACAUGAGCUGGUAGAAAGCAGACACGUGAAAACCACACCAAAUGUUGACGUGUCCCAAAGUUUCAAGAAACAAUACAAUGGAUGUCAGUAUAUAACGGAAAAUGCCAGCUUUGCCUGGUUGCAGCUGGUGAAAAGGAACCACAUCGACCCUACACAGGAUUUGGUCCCCUUCAACCAGCCGCAACUGAGCAGAUAACAUUCUGAGAGGUAGACCACUGCCAGGACAAGAUGGACGCGGAAUUAUUCACAUUCAUGUGUAUUUUUCUGAACAAAUAAAGUAAAUGAAAAUUAAA